AGCGCAGGCGGUCUUUUAAGUCUGAUGUGAAAGCCUUCGGCUUAACCGGAGAAGUGCAUCGGAAACUGGGAGACUUGAGUGCAGAAGAGGACAGUGGAACUCCAUGUGUAGCGGUGAAAUGCGUAGAUAUAUGGAAGAACACCAGUGGCGAAGGCGGCUGUCUGGUCUGUAACUGACGCUGAGGCUCGAAAGCAUGGGUAGCGAACA
RNAcentral lists this ribosomal RNA (207 nucleotides) under uncultured bacterium. RNAcentral describes it as "partial 16S ribosomal RNA". It matches the Rfam family "Bacterial small subunit ribosomal RNA", at positions 568 to 774 of the family's 1533-position model. The record is from RNAcentral.